Molecule: ribosomal RNA, 460 nt
Filed under: uncultured bacterium
Lineage: Bacteria
Description: partial 16S ribosomal RNA
Rfam family: Bacterial small subunit ribosomal RNA
Source: RNAcentral
CCUACGGGUGGCAGCAGUGAGGAAUAUUGGUCAAUGGCCGCAAGGCUGAACCAGCCAAGCCGCGUGCAGGACGACGGCGCUAUGCAUUGUAAACUUCUUUUGUCCGGGGAUAAAAUCAGGCACGCGUGCCUGUCUGAAGGUACCUGAUGAAAAAGCAUCGGCUAACUCCGUGCCAGCAGCCGCGGUAAUACGGAGGGUGCGAGCGUUAUCCGGAUUUAUUGGGUUUAAAGGGUGCGUAGGCCGGGUGUUAAGUCAGCGGUGAAAUCCCGGGGCUCAACCCCGGCAGAGCGGUUGAAACUGGCUGGCUUGAGAGGGCGAGAGGUAUGCGGAAUGCGCGGUGUAGCGGUGAAAUGCUUAGAUAUCACGCAGAACUCCGAUUGCGAAGGCAGCAUACCGGCGGCCUUCUGACGCUGAGGCACGAAAGCGUGGGUAUCGAACAGGAUUAGAUACCCGAGUAGUC